Molecule: RNA transcript, 2704 nt
Organism: Oncorhynchus nerka (sockeye salmon)
Lineage: Eukaryota; Metazoa; Chordata; Actinopteri; Salmoniformes; Salmonidae
Gene: cdpf1
Gene name: cysteine rich DPF motif domain containing 1
Exons: 5
Source: RefSeq, a predicted model, not a curated record
GUACAAGCAUGCUCACAUUCACAACAAUGGAGUCAAGCACAGAUGCGGUUCCUCAGAAUAUGUUUACUUGCCAUUUGUGCAAUUUAUCUACACCAUUCACAUACUACGGACAGAAGCCACCCAAUACCAGGGCUAUUGUCUUGUUGGAAGAGUGUUUUGUGACCAAGGAUCCUUUCAGUCCAGACGGAGAGAGGUUCCUUAUCCUGGGAUCCAACUGUAGUUUGUGCCACAUCACAGUUUGUGUUGGAACGGGCUGCAGCCUUUUCUACUCCAAGCGAUUCUGCAUGCAGUGUGUGAACAAACACUUGGACCAGUUCCCCCCUCACAUUCAAGCUGAGCUCGCCAAGAAAAAGCAGCCAUCAAAGACAGAUGUUUCAUGAUUUCUGUAAAUAGUAAUAUACUCUGAUGACAAACUUUGCUACCCUGUUUCCAAUCGUCUACAUGGUUGGGAGAACCUAUUCAAGUAAGUGAAUACAUUUCGAAAAUGUAAAAAAACAAUGUAUUAUUAGCUAACUCAAAUGAGCUGCUAACAUAGCUAGCUAGCGAGCGAAUUAAAUCUCACCAGCUACCUAAACUUCAUAUUAGCUAGCUAUCUUGAUGUAUUUAUCACAACAACAACAAAAACUAAACGCAUUUUUAGGUAGCUAGCUAACAGCCAUGGAGGGUGAAAGGAUAGCAGCCCCAACUGUCAGUGAGAGAAAGGGCUAUUCUGGACAGGGCAGGUACUUUUGUGUAGUUCCAGUCCCUAGAAGUGAGGACGGAGAUAAUAGUAACAUUAUUCAGUGUGGUAUAAUGAAGUCUGUUUCUUGUGAAGUUUUCUGUCCUCGGAUACAGAGAGCUGUGAAAGCCUGUCUGCAGAUUAAGUCCCAAUGAAGAGCAGUGGCUCUCAGUCCUGGUCCUGGGGACUCAAAGGGUUGCACAUUUUUGUUUUUGCCUUGCACUACACAGCUGAUUCGAAUGAUCAACUCAUCAUCAAGUGGUAUUUAUGUAUUCAUUUGUGAUGCUACCCUUGAUUAUUAUCCUGCUAUUGUCACAUGCUACACGUGCACAUGCAUCCAUCUAUCCAAUGUUAUCAUGAUUUGUUACGUGAUAUUAUACUUUAGUCAUCAAAUCAAAUUGUAUUAGUCACAUGCGCCGACUACAACAGGUGUAGGUAGACCUUACAGUGAAAUGCUUACUUACUACGAGCCCCUAACCAACAAUGCAGUUUUUUUUUAAAAUACAGAAAUAAAAGUAACAAGUAAUUAAAGAGCAGCAGUAAAAUAACAAUAGUGAAAACUAUAUACAGGGGGUACUGGUUAGAGGUAAAUAUGUACAUGUAGGUAGAGUUAUUAACGUGACUAUGCAUAGAUAACAACAGAGUAGCAGCGGUGUAAAAGAGGGGGGGGGGUGCAAAUAGUCUGGGUAGAGAGAGAUGAGAGAAUCCACAAUGACCUGGUGAUUAUAAAACGUCUAAAUUGCAUACAGUUACUGUAAGAUUGGGUGACCAGGGCCAUAUCUGGGACUGCCUCCUGGGGGAAUUCAGACGUGUGAAAGGCUACCUGUGUCCUGCAUAACUUCAUGAGUAUGGACACAAGGGCCUGGAGGGCAUCUGCAGCUCGUCGCCUUGUGUCAGAGGAGAGGUCUGCUGCUCUGCAGGAUGUUUCAAGGAUGGGGGACAACAACGCAGCACGAGAGGCAAUCCGUGUGGGGGAGAUCUUCACCUCCUACUUCUUCGAAAAGGGUGCUGUUCCCUGGCAACACCAUAGACUACACUAUGCACAACCAAAUGCUCUUUUAAAGAGCCAUCCACAUUACAAUAAGAGUAUUCUUCGAUUUACUUAGCUAUGUCAACUGCAGUUAUUAUAUUUCCCAGUUUCGCUCCUUUUGAUUUCUACUUCAGGUGAGGGUGCUGUCUGUACAAAAACAAAACAGGCACUUUUAAGAGACACCCAUAUUGAAAACAUUUAGAACAAGUAGACACUAUAACCCACACCCUCGUAUCAAUCUGAUUGAUGGAUUGUGUUGUGCAGUAAGCAGGCUCAGGUGUAUAACCAUGGCUCCUUCCACCUUCACAAAGAAUAGAAGAGGGGACCAACCAUGGAGAAUAGUACAAAACAUUAUAUAACUACACUAUAUUGUUUGUCGUCUCUGUACAUGUUUUUCAGUAUAAAGUACUCUGCAUCCACUUUAGUGUGGACACCAGGUGAGACCACACAAACAUUCCUGUUGAACAUUGUCUCUAACUACCUUAUUUUCUCAAUAAAUCUCUCUCCUUCACUUCAUCCCUCUUCUCCUUAACUCCUCCAGGUUAUAUCAGCUGUGUCGGUGAACCCCUCCCACAUCUGAACUGGCUGACAGAGGGCACAGUAUGAUCAGAGAUAUGUUUUGAUGUGAGAGAGGAUGCCAACCCCGAGUCCCAUCAUCUCCACCUCACCUGCUUGUAAGAUAACCUUCGGGCCAACUAGAGACACUAUUAUGUAAUUGUGAUGAACUGAGAGAAUAUUUGGGUAGCACCGUGAUUCAUUAAUCAUAUGCUGUCUUCCCUGCUCCUAUGUUCUUACCUCUUUCCCUUUGUCUUUUACACCUCUCGCCACCUCUUUCUUCCUCUGUUUUUAUAAUAAACCACAGAUGUGCAUUGAAGUACAGAUUGAACUUGUAUUUAUAAUGCAUCUAUUUAUAACACUUGGAUAAUGAACUUCUUUCAAUAAAGCAUUUCACAUUC